ACGAAUUUCUUGUAGUUCAGAUUCAAGCUGAGAUACUUUUUGCAUAUUAUCGUCUCUUCCUUUGGAUGACAAACUGAAGAUACAAAGAUGUGGAUUGAUUAGAUUACAAUAGUAAGUUGAUCAUACAUACUUUUAGUCGAUAAUGCAGAUAAGUAUUUCUGAAUCUACAGAAUAAAACAAGCACAUAGAGGAGAUUUCCUUGACCAAUAUAUAUACUUCUCAGAGGCGAAGCUACAAUUUUUGAGUUAUAAGUUGUAGAUUCUACAAAAGGUAGCUUAUUGGGUUCUGGAUAAACUAUUUAUACAUAUUAAUGGAUUUUAAACAAAAAUACAAGUCUGGGCCAAAGGUUAUUGGGUUCUGGUUAACACGUAAGCAGAACUGUAGCUCCGUCCAUGAUUUUCUUAUUCUAUCCUUAGAAAGGUAUCGUUAAGGAUUGUCAACUCAAGUGGUAGUUAAACCAGUUUCCAGUUGAUAAAGCCGAUUUGUCAGCUAUAAUUGGUUAACAGUUUUCGAAAGAAUGGUCAGACUAGAUGGAUUUUACCAGUAGCAGAGUAAGAUCAUAAGACAUAAACAUCAUGAGAAACACAAACAAAGCUCAGGAAACAAAACAAUUAUUUUUUAUAUUGGCUUACCUAAUUAGAUGGGAUUCAUCAUGGAUAUAAUUGCUGUCUAAAGUCUGAGCUACUGUAUCGCCCGGAAAUUGGUUCGCUGAUACACUUUUGGCAAGAGUCCCUUGAAAAUCUCUGUAGUAAUUGCUUUCUUUGUUUCCAUCCUAGAUAGAUAUGGGGGAAUGUCAUGAGGUUAAUAAAGAUAAGGAAAUUAUAUUAAUUUUAUUUUCCCUGAAAUGGAAGUAAUCAGUAAAUAUUACACACUGAGGAACACAAAGAAAUGAAGAUAGUUUUAGUACGACGUACCAGUUGAAAGUUGCCUUGAAUCUUCUGAACUUUCAAGUAUUUCUCUGAUUGAAGAGAUUGAGUAAUUAUCUCAUGCUGAUGCUUGCUGAAGUUCUCUUCCUCUACCUGUUUUUUCAGAAAACUAAACAAAAAUCAGAUUCAUCGCCUACUGUAUCAUUGAUUACAAGCUAUAUAUAAGAGAAGUGGCAUGGUUGACCUCUGAAAACUUCAGCUCAUCUAGAGUAGGAAUGGUAUCAUCAUCCUCUCUUUGGUUGUCUGGUCGUUUUUUCGACAAUUUUUCCUCGAGGGAUGUGACUUGCUUCAAGCAGUUCUCUUUCUCGAAUUGAAGGGAUUUUAUUUGCCACAGAAGUUGGCUAUUUGCUCUUCUAAGCUGGCAAAGCUCAUUUUUCAGCUCGGAAACUUUGGUACACAUUACUUCUUUUGCAGUUAAGUCUCCUUCCAGCCUCAGAACUUUCUCCUCUAGUGCAAUUGUCUUGUAUUUGCAUUUUUCUGCUUCCGCCACUUCCUUCUGCAUGCAGGUGAUUUCCUGAAGUAAUGAUGCCUUCUCUUCCUUCAACUCUUCACAAUCUCCAUAUUUCAACAACAGUGUAACUUGUGUUCUCUCACUUUCAAACUUCAUCCCAGAUAGUGCUUCUUUAAGAUACAAAACUUCCUCCUGAAGUAAUGGUAAUGUAUGCAGUUGAAUCUUUAGGCUAGAAUUCUCUUCAGUCAUUUGCAGCAUUUGACAUUCAGAAGACAGUAGUUUUGACUCAAGCUCAUUAAUGGUGCAUUUAAGCUUUGCUUCACUGGAUACAAGAUGUUCCAUCAUCCUCAGUAGCUUAUCACAAUUAGCUGCCAAAGUUCCCUCCUUGGCUUUGGAAGUACCAAGUUCACUCAUAAGAUCUGACAUCUCUACCAUCAGGGAUUGUACCUGUUCUUGCAACUUUUCGACUUCAACUGUGUUCUCCGGAGACAUUUCACGCAGAGUGCACCCUUCUACAAGAAAUUUUUCUCCAUGCUCUUUAGUCUGUAGGUGGAGAUCGUCAAGUUUGAACUUAAGGAUCUUCUCUUUUGAUUCAAUCUCUUCCAUCACUGAAGAAAAGUUAGCUUCUAAAGACUCUAUCCUUUUCAAACAGGUGGAGAAAGAAUGCUGAGAUUUCCUCAAUUCUGCUUCCAAAACAUUAUGGCUCACAUGUAAUUUUAAUUUUUGUUGCCUUAGUUCUGCAUUCAAGUUUUGAAGCAAACAACACUCUUCCAUAAGACUUUCUGUUGUUGCUUGGAGCUUUGGAUUUACUUUCUUCAGAUACUCGCACUCUUCUUGAGCAUCUAACCAUCGCUUUUGCAUCUCCAUCAACUGUUCUUUCAUAUCGAGCUUUUGUGACUCCUUUUGAUGUUCUAAUUUUCUAAUCUUGCUCUCAAGGCUCACAACACGAUUACCAGAAUGCUGCAGUUCCAAACGAUUGAAUUCCAUUGCAUCAGUCAAAUGCCUUAGUUGAGCUUCCAAUCCUGAUACUCGUUCUGACAGAUCUACAUUUUCUUUUUCUAAUUCAUGCAAAUUAAGUUCUAACUCAUACUUAUCACUCUCUAGCUCUAAUGAUUUCAUUUCGUACGUCAUUUUAGAGACUCCUCCACAAAUACAUUGAUCAAGAAACAUCAAACCAUUUGCGGAAGUGUCUAAAGAAUUGGAGGUGGCACUAAGUUCUUGUUGCAUGUUUUCUAUUCUCUCCUCCAUCAGACAUUUACUCAUCUGGAGAUCAGAGAUUUGAGUACUCAAAUCAGUCUGCUGAUGCCUUAGCGCUUCGAUCUUUACAUCCUUUUUCAAACAUUUUGUCUUCAGCUCCAGUAUCUCCGAGUUCUUAGCUAAACUAUCACUACUUAAAUUUUGAAUCUUGCCCUCUAGCACCUUAUUUAAAUCCUCAAGCCUUUCACAGCAAGAACAAGGAGUAUUUUCCUUUGGAAGGUCAUCCUUUUCCUCAUCUUGAACUUCACAUGCAUCCUUUAAUGUUGUUUUGGGUUCAUCCUCGAUAUGUUGACUACCAUCAAGAUAUAGAGCCAACCUGUACCUCAAUAACUGGAAAUUUUUCAACACUGCAUUAGCUUGCUCGUCCUUAGCGGGAUGACCUGUACAUUCACAAAAAUCUAAAUUACAUAUAGCAUUUUAAAACUCAGUGUUUAUAAGUGAAAGGAGGACAUUUUGUCUUGUACCCUGUUGCACAAGAAACAUGCUAGAUACUUACAUAAUGUGUUGAGUAGGGUAUAGAUAUCUUCAAUAUGUCCUGACUCGGAACUCUGAAAUAUUAUGGGUACAUUUUUAUGAGUGAAACGAUCUUGACAAUCUCCUUCCUGCUGACAUUCAGAUGGCAUUGCAGCAACCUCAGUUCUCUGAUCUUGUUCUUGUACUUCAACGCAACAUGAGUUGAUUUCAGCAUUUGGCCUCAAAGCAUUGUCCCUAACUAGUGAGUGAAACUCCAGAGCUAAGUUUUCUUCCUGAUCACAGGUUUUCUGCUUACUUUCAGAACCCUUUGAUUUCAGUUUGUACAGAAGUUCCAGGUUUUCUUCGGUCAGCUCCUUGCAAUCUCUCUCAAGUUCCUGGAGUCUUUCCUUGAGAGUCUCAUUUUCCUUGAUCAGAUCACAGUCAGCUUCAGCUUUGAUCUCACUUGUCUUGGAGUCCUCGGCACUUAAAAGUCUGGAUAACUCUGCCUUCAAAUAAGUAAUUUCCUCUUCUUGUUCUCUUGACCUAUUUUUCCAUUUUUCUUCACAAUCUAUAAGAGCCUGAGUCCUGUGAUCUCGUUCAAGUUCAAUCUCAUGAGUUUUCUCCCUGAUGAUUUUCUCCAGAUGGAGAGUGGUGUUUUCCAGAUUUUUCUGUGAUUCUUGCAACUGUUGAAGCUUGUCCUCUAGGUUCUGUUGGUUCUCAGAAUUCGACUUUACUUCUAAAAGGUUCUUAAUCUCCAAUUUCUGCUUUUCAACAGUUUCUUCCAUCUCCUGCAGAAUAGAGACUAGUUGAAUAUUUGAUUCUUGAGUUUUACUUAGCUGGAAAGACAUAUCGUCAUUUGAUUCUUUUUGAAUCCUAAGUUCCUCUUUUAAAAUCUUUUCAACACUAUCCUUAUCUCUGACUCGGAGCAUUAAACUCUCAGUUGAUUUUUCCUUUUCCAUGGAUUCUUGUAAAAGGAUCUCAAGGUGUCUGAUUUCUUGCAUCGAUCCAUCACGUUCUGUACCCAAUGAACAAAGCUCCAUCUUAAGGUUUUCUAUCUGCUGUGACUGGUCAGCAAACUCCUUCCUUGACAUUUCCAAGUCAGUCUUUAAGCUUUGAGCAUUUUGUUCCCACAUCAUGGCCUCUGCAAUUAGUUCUUUACUGAUAGUAUCUUUGGCUUGUAAGGAGUUUCUAGAGGAAGCAGAAAGUUGCACUGAUGCGGUGUUAUCAUGUGAGAACUGUUUGAAAUCAUCUUUUUGAUUUUGAGCAUUCUUUCCUGAUCCUGAGAUCAUUAAAUUAUAGGGAGAGUUGUACGAUUUGGGUGAUUCACAAAAAGAGUAAGAACCACAGGAUGCACUACUCCUGGAAUCAAUUGAUUCUUGUCUACCAAUUAUGAGGUUACCAUGCCUAUUUGAGUCACUUUGGGAUGAAAAGCUUUCUCUGCCCAAUGAAUCCUCUGUAGAGGCAAAGCUAUGAUAUGAACUCAGCCGUGGGAGGCUUCUUUCCUGUUGGGAAAGCAUAAUCUAGCUUAAAUUCUAGAGGAAGCUAGAGAAGAUAAAGUAACAAAAUAAAUGCACCAUUGAUACUAGUAAAAUAAGAUCUCUAAGAGAAGACAUGCGUUGAUAAUAAUGAGAAAUAUACUUCAACUUCCGAUAUUUGAGCGUAUAUAUGCAUCCGGUGAUUUCAGUUAUUCAAGUUGUUUGGUCUAUAUCUAUGAUUUUAUAGUUACUUGGCUUUCUUGUAAUGUCCCUUAAUUUUAAAAAUUUGCAGUUUGUAUGUCUGUCUGUGUCCAUGUCCCACGCCAUGUCUAAACUACUAAAGCUGCAUUCAAGAAUGAGAUCCAGGCAAUAUUGCAGCCACUUUCC
Molecule: long non-coding RNA, 4949 nt
Filed under: Solanum tuberosum (potato)
Lineage: Eukaryota; Viridiplantae; Streptophyta; Magnoliopsida; Solanales; Solanaceae
Description: long non-coding RNA (STUB_LNC010438)
Source: RNAcentral